This 29-nucleotide small RNA is filed under the name Bombyx mori (domestic silkworm). RNAcentral describes it as "ovarian small RNA-20967". The record is from RNAcentral. Lineage: Eukaryota; Metazoa; Arthropoda; Insecta; Lepidoptera; Bombycidae.
UACGAAUGCGAAAUGUGAGUCAAAAACGA